Molecule: ribosomal RNA, 489 nt
Filed under: uncultured Enterobacteriaceae bacterium
Lineage: Bacteria; Pseudomonadati; Pseudomonadota; Gammaproteobacteria; Enterobacterales; Enterobacteriaceae
Description: partial 16S ribosomal RNA
Source: RNAcentral
CACGGAGUUAGCCGGUGCUUCUUCUGCGGGUAACGUCAAUCGACACGGUUAUUAACCGUAUCGCCUUCCUCCCCGCUGAAAGUACUUUACAACCCGAAGGCCUUCUUCAUACACGCGGCAUGGCUGCAUCAGGCUUGCGCCCAUUGUGCAAUAUUCCCCACUGCUGCCUCCCGUAGGAGUCUGGACCGCGUCUCAGUUCCAGUGUGGCUGGUCAUCCUCUCAGACCAGCUAGGGAUCGUCGCCUAGGUGAGCCAUUACCCCACCUACUAGCUAAUCCCAUCUGGGCACAUCUGAUGGCAAGAGGCCCGAAGGUCCCCCUCUUUGGUCUUGCGACGUUAUGCGGUAUUAGCUACCGUUUCCAGUAGUUAUCCCCCUCCAUCAGGCAGUUUCCCAGACAUUACUCACCCGUCCGCCACUCGUCACCCAAGGAGCAAGCUCCUCUGUGCUACCGUUCGACUUGCAUGUGUUAGGCCUGCCGCAGCGUUCAAU